RNAcentral lists this ribosomal RNA (301 nucleotides) under uncultured bacterium. RNAcentral describes it as "partial 16S ribosomal RNA". It matches the Rfam family "Bacterial small subunit ribosomal RNA", at positions 509 to 807 of the family's 1533-position model. The record is from RNAcentral.
CAGCAGCCACGGUAACACGUAGGGUGCGAGCGUUAAUCGGAAUUACUGGGCGUAAAGCGUGCGCAGGCGGUUUUGUAAGACAGGCGUGAAAUCCCCGGGCUCAACCUGGGAAUGGCGCUUGUGACUGCAAAGCUAGAGUGCGGCAGAGGGGGAUGGAAUUCCGCGUGUAGCAGUGAAAUGCGUAGAUAUGCGGAGGAACACCGAUGGCGAAGGCAAUCCCCUGGGCCUGCACUGACGCUCAUGCACGAAAGCGUGGGGAGCAAACAGGAUUAGAUACCCCUGUAGUCCCUGUCUCUUAUAC